This 464-nucleotide ribosomal RNA is filed under the name uncultured Myxococcales bacterium. Its description in RNAcentral is "bacterial SSU rRNA". It matches the Rfam family "Bacterial small subunit ribosomal RNA", at positions 338 to 795 of the family's 1533-position model. Lineage: Bacteria; Pseudomonadati; Myxococcota; Myxococcia; Myxococcales. The record is from RNAcentral.
CCUACGGGGGGCAGCAGUGGGGAAUCUUGCGCAAUGGGCGAAAGCCUGACGCAGCGACGCCGCGUGGGUGAUGAAGGCCUUCGGGUUGUAAAGCCCUGUGGGGAGGGACGAAUAAGGUCGACCUAAUACGUCGACAGAUGACGGUACCUCCUUAGCAAGCACCGGCUAACUCUGUGCCAGCAGCCGCGGUAAGACAGAGGGUGCAAACGUUGUUCGGAAUUACUGGGCGUAAAGCGCGUGUAGGCGGUUCGGUAAGUCGGAUGUGAAAGCCCGGGGCUCAACCCCGGAAGUGCAUUCGAUACUACCGAGCUAGAGUACUGGAGAGGAUGGUGGAACUCUCGGUGUAGAGGUGAAAUUCGUAGAUAUCGAGAAGAACACCGGUGGCGAAGGCGGCCAUCUGGACAGAUACUGACGCUGAGACGCGAAAGCGUGGGGAGCAAACAGGAUUAGAUACCCUAGUAGUC